This 25149-nucleotide long non-coding RNA is filed under the name Durio zibethinus. RNAcentral's name for it is "long non-coding RNA (DZIB_LNC000591)". The record is from RNAcentral. Lineage: Eukaryota; Viridiplantae; Streptophyta; Magnoliopsida; Malvales; Malvaceae.
GGGGUUUUAUUUUAUUUUAAUUUUAUCAUGUUUUUGAGAAAACAUGAAAGAAAAAGACCCAACGAUACAUAUUUAUUUUUCAUCAGUCAUAAGCACCCCCCCAUACUUAGGCUGAAAAUUGAUCCAUCAGCACUUAAACGGAACCGCUGAAACCUUUAUUGUAAGCAUAUUCAAUAAGGGAAUCCAACUCAUCAUUGGUGCAGUCGAUCAAAUUGUCCUUAUUUUUAUCAGCAACGUCCAUGGCCUCUUCAACUUGCUUGUUUGCCGUGAGUGCACCUAGAUGUUGAAAAGCAUCCUUGAGCUGGUCCGUGGUGAGGCUGCCCUGCUUAGAGUAAGAUCGAAACACUUGUUCCAAUUUGUUUUUCUGAUCCUUGUUAUCCUUUGUGGCUUGCAUUGUGGAUUUUGAGGUUUGUGACCGGGUGAUAUUAGAGAGAAGGCUUGCCUAGUUUGGUUUGGUUUUCUUGUCCAAUGCAAUUUGUUUAUAUAGACCCAAAACUCUGAAUACGAUUCUGUUGAAGUGUUGGGGAAUAAAACAUUUUUUGGUGGUGGGUUUUAAAAAUUGAUUUCCAUCUUUUUUAUCAAUAAAAUUAAUAAAUCAAUCAAUAAAUUUUAUAAUGAAUACUUAAAAAAAAUAUUCCAAGAGGAUUGGUACGAAUAAAAAUAUUAAUGUUAAUUUCUUCUUUUCUUCUGGCUUCAAAUUAACCACAGAUUGGAAAAAGCUAAAUAGCAGCCUCCACUAUCUUGUGUCCAUUUUCUAUUGUUUCAUUUGUUUUAGCCCUCAAUUUGCAGUUUUUAGGUUUUUCUGUUUUUUUUUUUUUUUGGUUCCCUGAUUAAAUGAUGCAUUUUGGUCCAUUUGGUUUUAAUGAAUUUUCAGAAUUUGGUAGAUCUCGUGAAAGGAGUUCUAGGAAGUACUUUGAUGAGCAUGCUUGUAAAUUGUGAUAAUUAUUGUGUAUGAAUGUUAAGUUAUCCAAAAAUAAAUAAGUUUAGCAUUAGGACUUUCUUUCUUUUAUUGUUUGCCAUAAAUGAUUCUGGAGCAAAGCAAACUACUGUUAAACUAAUUAUUUGCAUUGUACCACUUCCAGGAAUCAUGGCCUUAGUGGGUUAAAACUGUAUACAUGUAUUUCUCUCAUAUGUUCUUAAUCUGGGUAGGAUAGAAUUAAGUUUGGGCUAUCUCAAUUCCUUUGCACCUUUUUUCCCUUGUACUGUAAUAUUUUCUCAACCACCCUUUUGCAAGGGGAAAGCUGUAAUAUUAUAUAUAUAUAUAUAUAUAUAUAUAUAUAUUUUAAAUUAGAUAAUUUUGUAAAAAAAUUAUAUUGAUGGAAGUGUGUACAUGGUAUUCAGAUUUUAUUUUUUCAUUUCUUCACUUUUUAUAAAGCUUUAUUUUUAAAAAGUUCCUAUACAAAUUUUUACAAGAAUAAAUUCAUCAUUAGUAUAGUGCAUGACAAUUCAAUUUUUUGUCCUUUUAUUGAUUUUUGAUUUUAUUUUGAUUUAGUUUUUUCUCCAUUUUGAUUAUUAUUCAAUUUUCAGCUGAAAAAACUAUCGAAGUUGUCCACAUGACAUCUAUUUAUUUUUGCCUAUUUAUUUUUUAAAUUAGAUAAAUUAAAUAUAAAAAAACGAAUAUAAAAUAUCUAAAAGAUAUAAAAUCAAGUUGAAGUAUAGAACAAAAUUAUCUUGUAUUCAAUGAUUUCUAUGGAUCAAGUCGGGUGUGCUUUUUCUUUUUUUUUUUUUAAUUUAGGAUUGGAACCUUAAAAAAUAUGAAUUAUUACCAAAUUAUCAGUAGCAUCAUCUUAAUAAAAUAAUUUGUGUAAGAAACCUUUAUGAAGUAAGAAACGGAAAACUUAUAAUUGAAAAAUGAAUUAAUUAAUAGUAGGAUAGAAAAAUAAUUUAAAAGAUUACAAUUAGUAAUUUCAUAAUCAAAUAAAUGAAUUUUUUUUUAAAUUAAUGUAAAACUAUGUUUUCUAAACCAAAGCAAUGCACAAAUGACACCACAAAUUGAUCCUUCAUAUAUGCCUCACAAACAUUUUAAUAAAAUUACAAAAAAAAUUUAACUAUUUCCAAAAAUAAAAUCUUGAUAUAUAUAAUUUUGCUAAAUAAGAUAUUUAAAUUUUUGAUAAAUAAAGUUACCUUCAUAAAUGAAAUCUUACUUGAAAUCCUGCAACUAAUUAACUCAUUUUGAUAGUUUAAUUUUCAUUAAAGUGUAAUUUUCUUUUGCUUGCUAAGACCAACAUCUGUAUGUACUUUAAUUCUUUUGUCAAAUAGCUAUAGUUUUAUCAAAAUCAUUUUCGUCUAUGUAAUAUACCUACAUAUAUGCACAUGCAAAAACAAAUGCAUAAAUGUGUGUAAAAUUAAAAAGAAUUAAGCAUUUAAUUAGAUUCAUAUAUAUAUAGAUAUAUAUAUAUAUAUAUAUACACACACAUACACACACUAUCUGUAUUCUUCAUAAAUAGGUUGACUUUCAAGUUUUCUCGAAGCCUUUUAUCAUGUUUUUAAGUAAUAAAAAUAUUAGUGUAUGGUUCAUAAUAGUACGAUAACAUGUUCACGGUAUUUGAUACACACAACAUAACUUGCAAGCAUGUAAAAUUACACAGAUUUGAAUAAAAACAGGGGGUUUUAUUUUAUUUUAAUUUUAUCAUGUUUUUCAGAUAACAUGAAGGAAAAAGACCCAAAGCUAUAUAUUUAUUUUUCAUCAGUCAUAAGCAUCCUCCAUACUUAGGCUGAAAGUUGAUCCAUCAGCACUCAAACGGAACCGCUGAAGCCUUUAUUGUAAGCAUAUUCAAUAAGGGAAUCCAACUCAUCAUUGGUGCAGUCGAUCAAAUUGUCCUUAUUUUUAUCAGCAACGUCCAUGGCCUCUUCAACUUGCUUGUUUGCCGUGAGUGCACCUAGAUGUUGAAAAGCAUCCUUGAGCUGGUCCCUGGUGAGGCUGCCCUGCUUAGAGUAAGAUCGAAACACUUGUUCCAAUUUGUUUUUCUGAUCCUUGUUAUCCUUUGUGGCUUGCAUUGUGGAUUUUGAGGUUUAUGACAGGGUGAUAUAAGAGAAAGGGCUUGCCUAGCUUGGUUUGCUUUUCUUUUCCAUUGCAAUUUGUUUAUAUAGACCCAAAACUCGAAUAGUAUUCUGUUGAAGUGUAGGGGAAUAAAAUCUUUUUUGUGAUGGCUUUUAAAAUUUGAUUUCGAUUGAAAGCAAACAAUAUAAUUGUAUGAUAUUUUCUUCAUUUGAAUUUUUUUUAAGUAUCCAUUUUAUCAAUAAAAUUAAUAAAUCAAUCAAUAAAUUUUUAUAAUGAAUACAAAUAAACAAAUAUUCGAAGAGGAUUGGUUCGAAUAAGAAUAUUAAUGUUGGCUUGAAAUUAACCACAGAUUGGAAAAUGCUAAAUAGCAGCCUCCACUAUCUUGUGUCCAUUUUCUAUUGUUUCAUUUGUUUUAGCCCUCAAUUUGCAGUUUUUAGUUGCUUUGUUUUUUUCGUUGCCUGAUUAAAUGAUGCAUUUGGAUAAAUUUAUUAUCAAAGCUUUAUGAUGAAUACCUAUAGACUUUUUGUAGUAAUAUGAUGAUGAUAAUAGUUUUGAAAGAACUAAAAACCUUUUGCUGUUAUUUGUUCACCCGAAAACUGAGAGUAAUCAUGUUAAUAGAGAAAUGCUCAGACAUUGAAGUUGGAAAAAGGAAAAGUGGUUGAGAAGCUGAAUAUGGGAUAAAAUUGUGGCAACUGGCAAGUGUACAUUAACUUUUCUGGGAUAAGAGUUUUAGUUUACAAAAUGUCGUUUUGGCCGAAUAUAUGUCUUAUAUGAAAAGUCUGAUGACUGAAAACGUAAAUUUGAUCUAUGAUGUCACUAUUCCAGCAUCCACGGUGGAGAGUUCUUGUUGAUAAUCAAUAUUAAGUUUGGGCAGUGAACCUAUCAGAGGCCAGUUUUUGUUAUUGGGAUAAAACUGGUUUUGUGUGUAUUGUUUCAUUUGCAUGACAUUUAAGCUGUCUGUUCAUCUAGUAUUAUAAAACUUGUUCAUUUGACUGGAGGUGCAGUGGGAUUUGCAGGUCUGUGGAGAGGAUAAUGGAAGUUCAUGAACGUUGUGGUGAGGACAAGAAUGCUUUAUGGAGCACAAACUUUGUGCAAACACCAAGUUCUUUCUGCUGUUGCUCUUAUUUUAUGCUUAAAAUCAUAAGCUUUUUUUAUGCUUUUACUACAAAAUUUACAUCAAUUUAACAAACCUGAGAAUCCGAUAUUAUAAUAAUGGCCACUGCAGGGGAACUUUGCUUUUCUAUUACAAGUUCUUUCAGAAAGUACUUAUUGCUUUGUGUUUUCCUUACAACUGACCACAAUCUUUUACUUCCCAAAAUCAUGCCUCUGAUUAAGUAAAACCUGCUGGAAAAACUAUGUUACACUUGCAAACACAAGACUUCAUAUAUAUAAACAGAAAAACACUACAAAAUUCAUAUUUCACAUUUGAAUGUUAAUUUUUUCUUUUUUAUGUGAAGUUCUUCAUAGCGAUGAGAAUUUAAUACUGAAUUAAGUUAGUGUUACAAUGAAGACACACAAAGGCUUUGUUCAUAUCUUAUGUGUAUCUAUCAGGUGUCUCUGGACUGAGUAAUGAAUGUGUUGAAUCGAAACGUACACGGCUAAAUCAAAUAGCUAGCUUUUUCAUACGUUUUGUUGCACUUAGAUGUGAAUCAUUUUUUCAGAGGGAGAUUUAUUACAUCUUUAGUAAAUGUUUUGAUGCAAAACAAAUGAAUUUGCUUUAUCUUAUGAAAAAAAUGGAUAAUUAUCCUAAAAUGAAUUACAAAUUUUGAUUUGUCUUUCAAUAAAGCUUUCUCUUCAAUGCUCCAAUGGUCAUAUAAUACCAAAAAACCUGCAUCCUCAGUCUCAGAUUGUCCUCAACCUCACCUGACUUGCAUCAGUGAAUCUGAUCACACUGCAUGAUUUCAUGUAUGGAUAUAUAGAUAUCUUGGACCAUUUAUAUAUAAUUCCAAACCAUUUUACAUUUCAUAUAAUUCACCCCUACAUUUAAUUACUACUUAGGACAGCAAUAGAAAUGUUGAUUGAACAGUUCUUUUAAUUUUAUGAUUCAAAUGAUGAAAACUUUGAAGUAAUUACAUUUAAUGAUGGUGAUUCAAAUGGGGGUGUUCAUGUGACACCUUUAUUGAGCUUUUUUUUUUGGUUUUUGUUUUUCUCCUUUUUUUUUCAAAUUUUUUAUAUUUUUAUUUUUUGAUUAGAUAAAUUUAAUGAGAAAAAAGGCCAUCGAGAUAUAUUCACAUGUCACUUCUAUCUAGUUUUCUUAUCUUUUAUUUUUUUUAAUUAGAUAAGUUUUAUAAAAAUAAUAUAAAAAUUAUUUUUAAUUUAGUUUUAUUAAAAUUUAUAUGAAAAUAAUAGAAAAAUAAAAUAAAUUAUCAAUUAUUUUAAUUAAUAAAAUAGUUAAACUUACGCGUAGGCUCAUUUCUAGUAUUUAAAAAAAUGAUAAAGAAACUUAUUUAAACUCCAUCUCUUAAUUUAAGCUUUAAUUAGAACAUGCUAGUAGUUGAUUUAUAGAGCUCACUAGUUUGUUAUUUGUUCGACGCAGGUAUUAUUUUUAAUUAUUUAAAUGUGUAGACACAUAAAUUAUUACUGUUUAGUCACUUAUAUAUUCAAGAUAUAACGGAGAUAAUUGCGGUCGCUGCGAUCAUCACAGUCGUGAAAUUUUUUUUUUUUUGCACAAUUUAUUAUAACAUGUAAUAAUUAUAAUUAUAAUUAUAAAAACUCUUAUUCAAUGAUUCUAAAAAUAGUUUAUGACACUCCAUGUUUUUUAUUUUCUAAAAAAAUUAUUCACAAUUUUAUUUAGAUUAUAAAAAGCAUUCAUAUUUGGUUUAUCCAUAAAAUUUUUCUUGGCCAAGUUCAUAUUCAAUAUUAAUUCUAGACAAAUCAAAUAUUAAUAAAACAUAAUAUGUUAAAUACCAAGCAUUUAAUUUAAUAAAAUUACAAACUUAAAAAUAUAAUAAAUUCAAAUUUCAUCAACUACAAUUCUUGAUACAUAUUUCAAAUUUACCACAUGGUAGAAUGACGAGGAGGAUCAGACUCUCUAUCUUCACUUUGAAAGCCAAGUUGACUCCAUCUCCAUUCCUGAGGCCUUUGUUCUUGAUACAUUUGAGGUGAAAGAUAUAUUUGAGGAUGAUACACUUGUGGUGGAGGGUACAUUUAUGGUAACUGAUACAUUUGAGGUGGAGGAUAACCAUAUGGAGGUGGAUAACCAUGAGGAGGAUGAAAAUUAUGUUGUUUUGGUGGAUAGUAAUGUCUUUGAGUACUAGCAGAUGAUUCAUUAUACUCAAAGUUACUAGAAUUUGGUUUUUCACCUAAAGUGAAGAACCUCUAGAAAUUUCAUAGUGGUGCUUCUUCGCUUUUCCUUUUGAUCGAGCUGUACGUGCACUUUGACCCUCACUAGUUCAGCAAAUGGAUUUCCUCCGUAUUCUACCAUAUUAAUGAAAAGUCCACCAGUAGCAGCAAGCCCAAAUUCUCCUCUAAAUGGGCUGUAAGGUCGAUUUGCAUCCACAUUAUCACCAAAAUUUACACCAUCACCAUCACCAUCUCCAUCACCAUCAUCAUCUAGACUUAAACCACCACCAUCAUCACUUUGACUUAGUGUUGGACUUGAACUUGAAUGAGACACAUUCUUUUCUUGAGAUAGACGUGAUCGUUCAACAUUCAUUUCAUUAUUAGAAUUAUCUGCAGGCAACUAAUCAGAGUUUUGACCAUCUAAUAGAAGAUUUUCUUUCUCUUGCAGCCAUUCUAUUAGUGGAUCAUCAUCAUCAAAAAUAUGGUCAAGGCUAAUAGGAUUAAAACUAUUAUUUAUUUCAUCAAUGCUCAUUCUUUUCUGAUGUCUCAUCCUCAACCUCAUGUUAUAAUAGGUAUAUACAAGUUUCUGGAGUCUUUCAAACUUCAAUCUAUUUCUUGCUUUGGUGUGAAUAUAGCUAAAUGUGCUUCAAUUAUGUUCACAAUUUGAUGUAGAUGUUGUUUGACUAAGCACUUUGAUUGCUAGUUUUUGUAAUUCAGGAACACAAGUGCCAUAUAUCAUCCACCACUCAACUGUAUAAAAUUAUUUAAAUUAAAUUUCAAUGGGCUAUACAAUUAAAUAAUAUAAAUAAAUUAUAAUUAUUUAACUUACUAGUUACCUAGAUUCAUUUGCUUCCAAGCUCUUUGUGCUUGUGGACUACCUAAUGUUUUAUGCUUGUCUCAAAAUAAUAACAACUACAUCGAUUGAAAAUACAAUAAUGAAUGAAUAAAUAAAAAAUAAUUUAAUUUUUAAUACAUAAAAUAAAUGUUAAAGUUAUAAAAUAGUAUUAAAUACUAACCUGAUUAAUUAUUUUGAUUUGAGUAUCUAUCGAAUGUUCUAAUCUUUCAAUAACUGCUUUUAUACCUUCUAAUGUUUCCUUAAAUACAUUUGCAGAAUGUUCCACACCAAAUUGAAAUUAUGGAUUUAGAUAGUAACCUAAACAUAAUUUAUAACAAUAUUAUAUUAAAGUAAUAAAAAAUAAAUAUAUAAGCAAUUUAAGUAUUAAAAAUAAACAUAUUUUUUAAAUACCAUCUAUAUUCUUGGUUUACUUAUCAGCUGAAUGCAAGUCAGAGUGCAUAAAACUCCAUCUAUUGUCAAUAAUCUUUUCAUAUUCAGCAGAAUAAUGACAAGUUUGUUGAAUUGCUUGUUUAGCUCUAUCCACAGCCUCGUAAAUAAAGCCCAUUGUUGGUUUUUCAUCAACAUCCACAAGGCACAACACUUUUACCAAAGGCUCAUAAACUUUUAUUAUAUCGCCUACUUUUUUCCAAAAAUCUUUUCCCAAAAUGAUUUUUUUGACUUCAUAACCAAGUCUUGAUUUUUGUUGUCCCCAUUUUGAAUCUUUAAAUUCCUAUAUAUUCAUCAAUAAAUUUUUUAGAGUAAUAUAUUUUAAAUUAAUAUUUUAAAACAAUAAUAUCAUAAAAAGAUGCUAGAUUUAAAUAGUUUUUUCUAAUUACUAAGUACUAACCUUUGAAUUGAACAUCUCUCUCAAACUUUGCUUUUGCCUCAUUAUUUUUUCUAAUUGUAUGAAAUGAGUGGCAAAUCGGGUAAGAGCAGGAUGAAGUAUUUGCUUCCCAUGUGUAUAUUUCUUCAUCAAAUUAACAGUCCAAAUGUGAUUGUAUAUAAAACAAGUCACUUUCUUUACAUCAUCCAAAACCUUUGCCACAUUUUUUCCCUCCAAUAUCUUCAAGGCACAAGUCCAAACAAUGAGCUGAUCAUGCUGUCCAAUACAAAUGUUUUCUCUUUAUCUUUUUCCUGCAGCCUUAAAUGCUGCCUCGUUAUCAGUGACUAUUUGAACAAUGUAUUUUUCUCCAAUUUCUUCCACAACUUCAUCUAAUAAUCUGUAGUAAAAGUUUGUAUCUCUACUACGAACACUUGAAAUAUCUACAGAUUUUCAAAAAAUAGUCUUUUUACUACAGUAAACAAGGAAAUUAAUGAUAUGCAUUUGAUUCAAACUAUUGGUCCAACCAUCACACAUCAAAGUGACACCCAAUUCAUUCCAAUAAGCUUUUAAUCCAUUAACCCAUUCAUGAACUUGUUGAUACUCAGACUCCAAAUACACAUCUGAGACCUCAUAAGGUGUUGGAAGUCUUACAUGUUGGCCAACUUCUACUGCCAUAGAAAUCAAAUUAUGCAACCAUGGGGAAUUUGCUAAUUGAAAAGAAAGUCGAUCAUAUAUCAAAAAUUUUGAUACUGAUUCACCCAUUUUUCUUCUUAAUGUCUUUAGAAAUGAAUCACUUACUUUUGGUUGUCUUGAACUUUUACUUCUAACCAAUUCAAGAACAGCUCCCCUUAAUGAAAAUUUAGACUCAUUUGGAAUUGAUUUUCUUGUUCUUUCUUCAAAAUAUUCAGCAACUGAACCAUGAGAGCUUCGUCCUUCUUCAUAUAUGUUACUCCAACCACUAGUUCUUUGUCUGAAUUCUUGUCUUCUGUGCCACUCAUGUUGUGAUUGGAUACUAUCUCGCACGGCUUGUCUAGUAGCAAUGUCUUCAUCAAUAAAUCCUUCAUAAUCAUCUUCCCCUCUUAACUGUGAUAAAAAUUCAUUUUUUCUCCUUUUGUUGUCAGCUUUUUUUAAUUUGCUUUCUUAAAAGAGUUUCAUCAUACUUUCUCUUACUAUACCUAUUAAUAAUAUAGUUAAAAAAAGAAGAGAAAAUUAGUUGCACAUGCUUAUGUAAUUUUAUAAUUUUUAUUAAAAAAUUAACAAUAAUAUUUUCAAAGAAAUUAAAAAAACUUAACAUACCAGUAACGUUGGGGCAUGGUGCAACAUUGCCAGUUUUAUGAGCAAUGUGUUCUUUGAAACGUGUUAUUCCUCCUUUUACAACUUUACCACAAAGUUUACAUGAAACAUUUCCUCUUGUAUUUGGCACAGGUGUUCCAAAAUACCAACCUAUAUCAUCAUUUGGCGCGCCCUUUACUCCUUUACUCGGGAACUCUUCACGUGGUGGCAUACUUACUAUUUUGUAUAAAAAUAAAAUAAACUUAUAUUUAGAAAUAUUAAUAUUACUUAUUACAUCAUUAAAAAUUGAUUUUACACUAAAUUUUUUAAUUUUUAGUUUUUAAUAUUAAGAAUAUUAUUAAAUAACUUAAUCUUUUUGAUGCACUAAUUGAUAUUAAUUUUUUUAUCACAAAUAACUUCAAAUAAUUAUAUAAUAAAUACAAUCUUCAAUAAUUACUCAAAAAUAAUAAGAAUUAAUCUAAUAUCAAAAGAAUUGACAACAAUAUAAAUAUCAAAACAACAAAAAAAUUUAUUAAAUUUCAUAUACAAAAUUAUAAAUUAAUAUCUAACACAAUCAAAAUAUAAUAUUUAAUUUUAAUUAAUUUUUGUCUAACUUAUAUAAAAAAUUUAUCAAUAAUUUUCAUCUACAAUCUCUAUGUAUAUCAUAUUAAAUUAUUAAUCUUUUUUUUUUAAUUAUAAAUCUUCAAUCCCUCUAAUUAGAUUUUAUCUAAAAAAAUUUCAAAAAAUUAAAAGCUUUCAAACUUAUAUUUUAAUAAAAUUUUCAAACCUAUAUUUUUUAUUUUUUAGUUUUUAAUCUUAAUAAGAGUAAUAGAUCAUAAAAUGCUAAAUUUGUUAAGUAACUUAAUUUUUUUGAUACACUAAUUGACAUAAAAAUUUUUUUAUCACAAACAACUUUUAAUAAUUAUAUAAUAAACACAAUCUUCAAUAAUUACACAAAAUAACAAGAAUUAAUAUAAUAUCAAAAGAAUUGACAAUAAUAUAAAUAUCAAAACAACAAAAAAAAUUAAAAUUCAUAUACAAAAUUAUAAAUUAAUAUAUAACACAAUCAAAAUAUAAUAUUUAAUUUUAAUUACCUUUUCAUCUAACUUAUACAAAAAAAUUUAUCAAAAUUUUUCAUUUAAAAUCUCUAUAUAUUAUAUUAAAUUAUUAAUCUCUUUUUUUUUAAUUAUAAAUUUUCAAAACCACUAAUUAAAUUUUAUCUAAAAAAUUUUCAAAAAUUAAUUACAAAAUUAAAUAAAAAAAUUCAAUCCCACCCUCCAAACACCCUACCACACCCAAUCCCUCAUCACCUCCAUCAAUCUUUGUCCACCUUUCCCCCCAACAUCCCACCACACCCAAUCCCUCCCCACCUUCCCCCCAACGCCCCACCACACCCAAUCCUCCCCACCCCAUCCAAUCUCUCCCCACGUGCCUAAUAUCUCAAAUUUGUUUAAUUCUUUCUAGUAAAUGGUAGACCCUUCUAGAAACGCUACUUUCUUCUGUUCAUCAUCUUCUUCGUGUUGCCUUCUUUGGCUUUCCAUAAAUUUUUUCUAUCUUUUUUUUUUCAUUUCUCAUUUUCUCUCACAUCUCUUUAUAACUAUCACUUGCUAACUUGCCUAGUAUCUACAAAUAUCUCGUUUGUCUUUCAAACUCUCACAAGAAACAACAGAUCAUUUUACAAAAAUUUUACAAGAAAAAAAGGUAAUUUAACUUUCUUUUCUUACCUUAUUUGAUCUUGAAUGUUGAUUCAAAACUUCAAGCUGAUUUGAAUUUGAAUGCCAAAAAUGCCGAUUGAAUGGUUGAAAGUUGAAACUUGAAAUAAUUGAUCUGUUUUCUAGCUCGUUUUAAAAUUUAUUUUGAUGAUAAAGAUCUGAGAUUGUGAGCUUUAUUUUUUGAUUUGACUUUUACUUUUACUUUUACAGGUUUGUUGUUUUAUUCUGCAGGCUUAAAAUUUUAUUUUUUUGUUAGAACUAUUAGAUCCGUGAGUAGAAAAACGAAAUAGCGACAAUAACGGUCCGUUAUUGUUGCUAUUGCCCGUUAUGCCAUUAUUUUACUACCGUUACUCUCCGUUUUUACUGUGAAUGAAUUUCUCAACCGUUUUUUAUCUACUAACGGUGGCGGAGGGCAGCGCUACCAUCAUUUUACGAUCGCUAUUUCGCUAUCAAACCAUUAUUUGAAUCUCUCAGCACGGUUUGGCUUAGUCCAAGCUGAAUUCUUUUUCUUUGUUUGCUAUAGCUUAGACCAACUAAAGGUUGGUUAUGCAGGAUGAAAAAAGGGAUGGAAGAAUUUAUGGCAUGACCGAACAGCUACUGCUAGAAGGAGAAACAGCAGCUGUUCGACAACAACCAGUAAAGAAAAAAAAAGAUGAGAUCUCAGCCAUCUUUGUAACAAGAGCAUUAGAGUACAUAAACUUAAACUUCAUCCACACUCACACUAAAGUCCAAGCAUGCAAAGAACAAAUGAAAACACAUUGCAGAGAAGAUCAUAACCAGUGCAGAAAUGGAAUAGAAAACAAUGAUAUAAAACGGCAUACAUGCCCUUGUAUGUGGGUUGCUCACCUUUGAAAACUCUUUUGUUUUCAACUCCCCCCACCUUUUUUUUUCUUUUUUCAGAUCCUUCCUCCUCUUUUUUCCCCUCCUUUCCAGCAGCUUCUUCUCCAUGCUUUUAUUUGGCAAACCCUUCCAAGAAAUGCAAGAUUUUAAUCUUGCCCAACGAGGGCCCUUGGAUGAAAUCUCAUCCAAGGGCCAUAUUUAUUCCUUUUCUUAUUUCCAAGGAGACACCUUUGGCCCUUGGAUUAAAAGCCAGCAAAGGAUCCAAAGGCUCAAACUACACACUGUAAAGGUUGAAUCUUUAUGCCUCUCAAACCUAUAAAAUAAACCAUUUUAUUCCCUAAUGUAAAGUUUUAGUGUUUAUGGUCAUUUUCUUAGAAAUCAAAGUUCCCAUAGUUAUUUUUUGGAUUUUCAAGCACCAAAAAUUAUAAAUUAUUAUGAAGUUAAGAUCUGAAAUGUUUCGUGAAAAUCUGAGUUUGGAAAGAUCAAAUUACAAAAAUACCCUUAUAGAGAUAUUUUGGUAAUUUUAUACUUUUUCAGGUAUACUAUGAUUUCAAAUACACUAAAAAUCAUGAAAUAUUAUAAAAUUAUGAUCUAAAAAGUUGUACAAAAUUUCAGGCUUGGAAAGAUCAAAUUAUAAAAAUAUCCUUAUAAGAGAUAUUUUAAUAAUUUUAUACUUUUCAGGGUACAAUAAAAACUCCAACAUUUCAAAAAAUCUCAAAUUUAACUUUAAACCGAAUUGAUUUCAACUUUUGAAUUAUUAGAAUUGAGUCAAGCUCUAUCUAUUUUGACCAAGUUUCUUGCAAUUUUGACCAAGGUUGAAUUUGGAGUUGACUUUAUUAGGCCUAAAUAUUGAUUUCUUAAAGGGCUUUUUUUAUCGGCUUCAAGUGGGUUUUAUUUAACUAUGCUAAUAUAUUUCGAAUAAAAUUUAGUGUCUAUAGCUGUCCUUUUUUGCUUAUUUCUGAGAAUAAAAAAUAAUGCAAAAAUAUAAAUAGUAAUUUUAUCUAGAUAAUGCUUUUGAAAUUUUCUUUUUUAACAUGUUUUGAACUUGUUUGAAAAUUGCCCUCUCCAAACAAAGGCUUUGACACUUUGAAAUNNNNNNNNNNNNNNNNNNNNNNNNNNNNNNNNNNNNNNNNNNNNNNNNNNNNNNNNNNNNNNNNNNNNNNNNNNNNNNNNNNNNNNNNNNNNNNNNNNNNNNNNNNNNNNNNNNNNNNNNNNNNNNNNNNNNNNNNNNNNNNNNNNNNNNNNNNNNNNNNNNNNNNNNNNNNNNNNNNNNNNNNNNNNNNNNNNNNNNNNNNNNNNNNNNNNNNNNNNNNNNNNNNNNNNNNNNNNNNNNNNNNNNNNNNNNNNNNNNNNNNNNNNNNNNNNNNNNNNNNNNNNNNNNNNNNNNNNNNNNNNNNNNNNNNNNNNNNNNNNNNNNNNNNNNNNNNNNNNNNNNNNNNNNNNNNNNNNNNNNNNNNNNNNNNNNNNNNNNNNNNNNNNNNNNNNNNNNNNNNNNNNNNNNNNNNNNNNNNNNNNNNNNNNNNNNNNNNNNNNNNNNNNNNNNNNNNNNNNNNNNNNNNNNNNNNNNNNNNNNNNNNNNNNNNNNNNNNNNNNNNNNNNNNNNNNNNNNNNNNNNNNNNNNNNNNNNNNNNNNNNNNNNNNNNNNNNNNNNNNNNNNNNNNNNNNNNNNNNNNNNNNNNNNNNNNNNNNNNNNNNNNNNNNNNNNNNNNNNNNNNNNNNNNNNNNNNNNNNNNNNNNNNNNNNNNNNNNNNNNNNNNNNNNNNNNNNNNNNNNNNNNNNNNNNNNNNNNNNNNNNNNNNNNNNNNNNNNNNNNNNNNNNNNNNNNNNNNNNNNNNNNNNNNNNNNNNNNNNNNNNNNNNNNNNNNNNNNNNNNNNNNNNNNNNNNNNNNNNNNNNNNNNNNNNNNNNNNNNNNNNNNNNNNNNNNNNNNNNNNNNNNNNNNNNNNNNNNNNNNNNNNNNNNNNNNNNNNNNNNNNNNNNNNNNNNNNNNNNNNNNNNNNNNNNNNNNNNNNNNNNNNNNNNNNNNNNNNNNNNNNNNNNNNNNNNNNNNNNNNNNNNNNNNNNNNNNNNNNNNNNNNNNNNNNNNNNNNNNNNGUUCUAAAUGAAAAAAAUUAAAUGUUCAGGGGAAUGGCUCAAGAUACCAUUCCUAAUAAUAAUUACCAAAUUUCUUGAGUUUUUUUUCACAUGCAUUUGUAAGAAGCUAAACAAAUUAAAACUCAUAAGAAACCAAUGACUUCAUGCCCAAGAAAUCAAUAUACAAAGAAUAAUCAACCUAUUAUAAAGUAACUUUUCAUUGCUCAAAAAGCUCUAGGGUCAAGAUGCCACUAUGGAUGAGGCUUUUAAACUUUUCUUACAACUGUUUGCAUUUUUCAGUCGAGUGCGCAAUUACCCCCAUGUGAUAAUCAUAUUUACCAUUUAUAUCAUAACUCUUGGCUAAUGGAUUUGAAGUUGCUUUUAAAGGUAUUGAGGUGAGGUACUAGUACUUUAUCAGCAGAGGCAAAAGAGUAAAAAUUAGAAUUAGGAUUUUCUCUAGAUUGUUUCUUGAUCUUAUUUGGCCAUUCAAUGGUCGAGUAGUAGAUUGGGGAUAAUGACUUAUGUGAUGAGCUAAUUGUUGGGUUAGUUGGGGAAAAUAAGGAUUCUAAGAAAAGUUAUUUAUAGUAGGGUGGUAAGGUUAGUACAUGAUGUGUGGGGUCAAGCUUCCAACCUGUUUCCCUUUAUACAUCAUGACAUGAACAUCUUCUCUUUUCAUUCUUGGUACACACACAUCCUUUAUGCCAGGUGCAUUAUCUUCUUUAAGCUUUUCACUUUUUAUGGCAUUCUCUAUUAUCUCCCCUGAUAUGACCAUGUUGGUAAAAUUCUUUAUUACAUUUCAAUCAUCCUUUCAUAAUAUGGAGCUUUAAGAGUGCUGACAAACAUGAUUGUAGUUUUUUUUUCUGUUAAAGGAGGUUGAACCUAUACAGCACCAUUCCACCUUUGAGCAUAUUCUUUGAAACUCUCAACAUCUUUUUUCUCCAUACUUUGUAGAAACAAUCGAUCCAGGAGUAACUUUACAAUGUACUUGUAUUGAGUUAUAAAUGCCCUAGCCAAUUCUUUCCAUGAAGUGAUUCGAGUUCUAUCAAAUUGAGCAUACCACUUAGUAGCAGAUCUCGUAAGAUUGUCUUAGAAUACAUGAUCACGAGUUUGUCAUCACAGGUAUGGGCAACCAUCUUUCUACAAUAUAUAGUGAUAUGGGUCAUCGGGCAUUUGGUAUCAUUAUAUUUUUCAAAUUUUGAUACCUUGAACUUGGGUAAAAUAAUCACAUCUGGCACUAAGCAAAGCUCUAAUGCAUCCAUAGAUCCAUAAAAAUCUAUUUCUUUGAUAGCUUUUAACCUCUCUUAUAUGAGAUCCUUUUUUUUAGCACCUGAAUCUUUUAUUGCUUCAAAUGAACUUUUCAUUAGUUUUACUAGCUUUUCAGAAUCAUCAAGGGUUGGAAUUGGUGAAGCAGUUGAAAGUAUUUUAGAACAAGAGUAUGCCCUUAAAGGUGGUACUUGUUGUGAUUAUACCCCUUGGGAUGCUUAUAUGUAAGUUUCUUCCACCUCUUUCUCUUUAUUUAAAUUUUUUAGCAUUUCCAUUAUCUGAGCAAAAUCUACUCUCAUUUUCUCAAUUUAGCUAUGUUGUUUUGGCUCCAUAAGUGGCAAGCAAAUUACCUUGAUGAUCGGGCUCUUAAACCUUAUUACCACAAUUAAGAAUUAGGACAAUGUCUAUUGCGAAUUUAUGCAAGAAAAUAAAAAAUGUAUAUAUGAAUGAAUGGAUGCAUCAUUAAAUCCUAUCACAUAAUAAGAAAGAGAAGAAAAAGGAAAUCUUUAAUUAAAAAUUAUUUUGACAAAAACAUCCAAAAUCAUUCCUAGGAAAAAUCUUAAAAUCUAUUGCCUAAUCCUAUUCUUUAGCUUUAAGAUCUUGGUAUUGCCAUUGAUAAGUUCUUCAGCCACUAUGAUUAUGCAAUACCCUUUUAACAAUCUUUGGCUCUCAUUUAUCCCCAAAACUCAACGCACUAUCUCUGAUUAAACUUUGCACCUUAUGCUUGAAAGCAAUGCAAUAUUUUAUUAAAUGGCCUGUAGUCCCAAAGUGAUAAUCACGUCGAGCUUCAACCUCAAACAAUUUAGGAUAAGGUGGUUUUAGUAGCUUUAAAAGAACUGGUGCGAUUAGAUAAUUUUCAAGGAAUACCGAGAAUAAUUUAAUGUAAGUCAUAAGGAUUGGAUCAAUGAUGGCUCUCUCUUUUUUUUUUUACUUAAUGAUUUUUUGAGUUGAGUAGUUUUUUUAUUCACAGGUGUAGAGUUUGGAGCAAAAUUAGGUGUAUAUGCCCAAAAGUUUAUUGGUGGGGAGCUCGACUGCUGAGCUAAAGGGUUUUGAAAUGCAUAAUUCAUAAUCGAAAAAGUAUAUGCAUAUGGGCUAAUCUGCGGAGGUUGAAAAGAAAUGGCUUUGUUUAGGAUGCCAAAAGAGAUUGUUUAGGAACAAUCGGUUGGGGAUUUGGGUAUGAGCCAAUCUAUAGAACUGUGCAAGGUUAAAAGGCCUUAUCUCUUCUACUUAUUUUUUAACUUGGUCUUUUCUUAGGCCAUUGGACACAUUGACAUGACUUGGAUCAGUAUCAGUAUUAUAAGAGGCUUUUUAAUCUUAACAAAAUGGCUAUUUAAUGCACACACAAAUUGGAGUCGAUGAGAAUUCUUGAGAAUGGGUCACUUUAAGAUUUUCCACCAUUUCCACUAGCUUGGUAAGUUGCAUUUUUAUUUCUUGUAGGUCAUGUCCAAAUUCUUUUUGGUUGAGUUUCAAAGCUUGGAUCCAUGCUUUUAACAGAUCUCUCAUUUCUUUUGAAUUGUUAUCCCAAAUGAUUAAAAGAUUUCUAUUAUGCAAUGACAUGAUGAAUGAAUGAUGAUGAUGAUCUAUGAAUAAGUGAGAUGCAUGAAAUGAAUGAAAAUAGACAAACAAAGAAAUAAAUAAAUGUAAACUUAUUGAUGCUAACAUGAUUCAAGCAAAAGAAAAUAACAAACAAGAACAAAGUUAGCGACCAUUAUAAAGAAAGAAAAACCAAAAUAAUUUAAUGCAUAACUUAAAAGAUAUGUGACCUAACUUGGAGUAUUUAUACAAAAAGGGAAAGAUAUGGAUCUACCUAUGGGUAUUACAACUCAUUAUAUGUGGUUUAGGAUUGAUUCUACAUGUUCCCAAAUUAUUUCUUACAUCAUUGUCUAUCAUAGACUAGUAAAACACCCUAAUCUUUACCCAUUAUAGGUUACAAACGGCAAGGGUUCAAUUGAAGUGGGAGUGUUUCGCUAGCCUAUGCCAAGAUAUGAAAUCUCACGAAGGCGUAGGUACUUUACUCCUCUUAAAGGAUAGAACUCGAUUGUAGAAUUCAUGUUAUUUUAUUUUAUUUAAAAAAAUAAUUAAGUUCGCCAAUAGUUUGGUAAGAUUUAAUUUAAGAUUUAAAUCCCCCAAUAGUUUGGUAAGAUUAAAAAUUUAUUAUUAAAAAAAUUAUAUUAUGAAAUUCUCCAAUAGUUUAGUAGAAUUCAUAAUUUAAAAUUUAUAAACCCAUGAAAUAAAAAAUUAAUAAUUUAAAACUCAUAGUCUUUAAAUUUUAUUUUUAAACAUACAUAAAAAAAAUGAAAUAAACGAAUAAAUAUAUAAAAAAAAUAAAAUGUGAAAAUUACCUUAAUGGAUGGAGACACGCCUAGGUGGAAGUAUCCUUUGAUUUGUAGUGACAAAUAAUCCCCAAUUUGAACCAAAGAGCUCUGCCACCAAUUUUAAUCAAAGAGCUUGGGUAUAGAUUGCUACUUAUCUAUUUCUUAAUGGGUUUCCCUUUUUUUUCUCUCUUUUAUUUUUUAUGUGUGGUUGAUUGGUGUUUAUAUAGGGCCUUUUACGAGGAAUUUUAGAGAUUUGCAUUGAAUGAAAAGGAUUACAGAUCUGAUUAAGCUCUAAAUUGAUUUUUUCCUUGAUUCUCUUUAAAAUUCGUUUAAUUAGUUUUUGAAAUUAUCUCGAUUUUUCUUAAUUUUUAGAAUCCCUCAAAAAAUUUUCAAAUUAAAUUUGACUUUGAUUCCUUGAUUUACUUUCUUUUCAACCUUUGUUUUAAUAUUUUAAAAGAUCAUGUUUUAGUUUUGAUUAUUGAGAUCUUCCUUGAUUAGUGCUCAAAUUACUCCACAAAUUUCAUUGACCUGAUUUAUGAUAAAAAUUUAAAACUAGAUAAGUAAAAGACUAAAACAUAAAAAAGAUAAAUAAAUAAAUAAAACAAAUAAGAUAUAAAAAGAAAAGUUGGAAAUUGGACAAUUAGUCUUUGUUUGAGCCCCGAACUAAAUAGGGUGUUUACAAAUAUAUAUUUUAUACUUUUUUACUUUUUAAAUUAGAUAAUUUUGUAAAAAAUGAUAUUGAUGGAAGUGUCUACAUGGCAUCCAUAUUUAUUUUCUUUCAACCUUUCAUUUUUUUAUAAAUUUUUAUUUUAAAAAAAGUUAAUAAUAAAAAUUUUACAAGAACAGUUCAUCAUUGCUAAUUUCACGUGACAACUUAACUUUUUUUAUCCUUUUUUUCGUUUUGAUUUUUUUUUACUUUUACUUUUUUUAGUUUUUUUCUCCUUUUAUUUUUUAUUAGGUCAGUUGUUUAAACAAAAGAAAAAUUAACCAAUGAGCCCAUGUGGCAACCUAUUUCAUUUUUUUACCUUUCUUCUAUUUUUUAAUUAGAUAAAUAACACAAUAAAUAGAAACAGUAAAUAAAUUUUUUAAGAAAAAAGUCUAUUGAGGUAUUCACAAUAAAUUUUCUUAAUUAGAUAAUUUUUUGAGAAAAUAAUGUCAAUGUAGGUGUUCACAUAACAUCCUCACUUGUUUUUUUCUUUUAUAAUUUUAUAGUUUAAUUAGAUGAAUUUUAUAAUAAAAUGAGACAGUUGAUAAAAAUAGCAAAACAAUCAGUAUUUAUCGAUUUCGAUACAUCUCGAUUUGAUAUGGGUGUUUUUAUAAAAAAUUGAUAUCAAAUCGAAUCAUGUUGGUUUUUAAGCUAAGGAGAAGUAAGAUGUGGAUUUAGGGUGCUUUGUCCUAAAUCAUCUCGUGGUAUACGUAAAAUUAUUAUUUUAUUAUUAAUUUGGUUUUAUAUUUGCAUACAUUUAUUAUAUUAAUAAAAUUAUUAUUUGAUACUUUAAUUUAAUAAAUUAAUAUUUUAAACUCAAUAGGGGUGUCCAUGUGGCACCUUUAUUGAGCUUUUCUUUUUUGUUUUUGUUUUUCUCUUUUUUUUUGUUUAUUUUGUUUUUCAAAUUUUUUUUAUUCUUUUAUUAGAUAAAUUUAGUGAGAGAAAAAAAAAAGCCGAUUGAAAUAUCCACAUGACACUUCCAUUUAUUUUUUUUAUCAUUUACUUUUUUAAUUAGAUAAUUUUAUUUAAAAAGUAACAUAAAAAUUAUUUUUAAUUUAAUUUUAUUAAAAUUUAUAUCAAAAUAAUAAUAAUAAAUGAACUACGAAUUAUUUUAAUUAAUAAAAUAGUUAAACCUAUGCUACGAGCUCAUUUCUAGUAUUCAAGAAAAUAGUAAAGAAAAUUAUUUAAACCCCAUCUCUUAAUUUUAAUCUUAAUUGGAACACGCUAGUAGUUUAUUUACAGAGAUCAUUAGAAAUUAAUUACUUUCUUAGUCAACUACUAGGGUUUGAAACAAGUACUAGAAAAUCGAUAGGCCUUAAAAUUUCAAUUCCUGGCAUUUUGAAUUCAAUGUUGUUGGAUUUCUUUAGGUAUGGGUUGAGCCCAAUGGCUCAUUAAUUAUGUUCUUAAUCAGGCCUAAAAUCUAUUUAACCACAAUUUAUGGUUCUUAAAACUUAUGUAAGUGUAGACAUUUAUAUUAUAAAAAUUAUCACAUUCACUUGUAAUAGUGGAGUUUUUGAAUUUUAUUAUCAAGAUUGUAAUAGUAGUGUGAGCAAUUGAUAUAAUAUUAAAUUUUAAUUUUAAUUAUGUCAUAACAUAUAGAUCCGUGGACCUACUGUUAGACAUGGAUUAAAGAAGUUACCACCAAUCUUUUUUUGUUAGGUGUGAUUGACCACCUGAUUGAAUUUGAUCUACAAGAUAGAUGUUAGGUUCAGGAGUCAGUUACGCUUGAGGAAAGUUGUAGCACUCCCACAGUACCUAUCCAAAUUAUGGUACCAGUUUGAUUUUGUAUCAUCCAAGCCUUGGUCAUUUUAUGAUUUUACCAAAUACUUUAGUAUUGAAAAUUAACCCUAAAAUUGUCCCAAUAGUUUUGUAGCAAUUCAAGAUAAUUCUCUCACAUCAUGAGUAUUCAUAAAAACUAGUAUCCCACUCUGAAAAGACUCUUUCAUCAGAUUUAUUAAUUUAUUCCAGGAAAAAGUAAAUCUCCUAAUAGUUUGGUAGGACUUAGUUUGAAGCAAUCCUCCAAUAGUUUAAAGGAUAAAAAUUCUUUAUUUAUUUGAAAAGACCCUUUUUUUAUUGAAAAGAGUUUUUAAUUAUUUUUUAUUAUUUUGAAAAUUUUAUUUGCAAAAAUUUUUUUGUUUGAAAAGAUUUUUUUUAGAAUUAUUUUUCUUUUUUUACUUUUAGAAAUAAAAUUGGAAGAAAUAACAUUUAAAAAAAAUAAAAAAUGGGUUAAAAAUAAAAUAAAAUAAAAUAAAAUUAGAAAAUAAAAAUAAAAUAGAAAAGAAAAAACCUGCGAUCAGGUCGGGUUGGUACCAAGGUCAGAACGUGGGUCAACGAGUCACGUGCGGAUCCUUGGCUAUCUAAAAUGGUGUCGUGUUGGAAGAGUAUAAAAGCCACACCACUCAACUUUUCUUCAGAACUAUUUGAUUAAGCCUUUCUUUCUAAAAUGUAUAUUCUUUUGUCUUCUCUCUAACUGAUUUUCAAAAAUUGACGAAUAAAUCUCAAAAGCUGAUAGGGAAUUUUCAAGAACCCAACAAAUUAUCUAGAAAGCUAAACUCAGAAGUCCUUGGAAUGCAAAACCCUAUAGAAAUUCAAACCCAAAAACACCAAAUCCCAAUCCUAGAAAAUCUAAACAAAUCAAAUCCAAGACCUAAAACCUCUUGGUUGCUAAAUAAAUUUCUCUUUUUUUUUUCUCUAAAAUUUUUUCAUAAUCUUUUUUUUUUCUCCUUUCCCUUGCUUUGAUCAUAGGUUUAUAUAGAAGUUCAUGCUCAAUCAAUUCUCCUUAAAUCCAUUAUUUUGUUUGAUUUUCGUUUUAAUGAGAAUUGAUUUUGAAAUCAAAUCCCAAAAUUCUCUCCCUAUCAUUUUAAUGUAAAUUGAUUAUGGAAUUAAAUUCUGACAAUCUCUCUACAUCAAAUGCCAAUUGAUUCUGGAAUUAAAUUCCAAAAAUCUUUCAACUAUGGUUAAACUCCGAAAAAAUAUUCUCAGAUAAAAUGGGGUGUCUACAAAUUAUCAAAGUUCAAAUUUUGAUGAUUUUAAAUAUAAAUUCUUUAUAUCAUCUAACAUUACACAUGCACAUGUAAUAAUACAUACAAAGCAAAUAAUAAAAAGCUAAAAACUAUCUUAUAAAAUGUGGAAAUUAUAGUGGGGAAUUGGGGAUUAGAUAACAGGAAGCCUUAAAAAAUAUGAAUUAUUACCAAAUUUCAGUACCAUCAUCUCAAUACAAUUAUUUUGUAAGAAACCUUUAUGAAGUAAGAGAGGGUCUAAAUUUAUAAUUGAAAAAUGAAUUAGCUAAUAGUAGGAUAGAAAAAUAAUUUAAAAGAUUAAAAUUAGUAAUUUCAUAAUCAAAUAAAUGAUUUUUUAAAAAAUUAAUGUAAAACUAUGUUUUUGAAACCAACGCAAUGCAUAAAUGACAUCACAAAUUAAUCUUCAUAUAUGUCUUGCAAACAUUUUAAUAAAAUUACAAAAAAAAAAAAAUUUAAGUAUUUCCAAAAGUAAAAUCCAGAUAUAUAUCAUAUUGCUAAACAUGCUAUUUCAACUUUUGAUAAUUGAAGUUACCUUCAUAAGUGAAAUCCCACUUGAAAUCCUGCCACUAAUUAACUCACUUUGAUAUUUGAAUUCUUAUCAGUGUGUAACUAUUUUUUACCUGCUGAGGCCAGCAUCGGCAUAUACUUCAAUCUUUCUGUCAAACAUCUUCAAUUUUAUCAAAACCAUUUUCUUCUAUGCUUACAUAUGCGAGUGCAAACACAUUUGCGUGUGUGUAAAAAUAAAAGGAAUUAAGCGUUUAAAGUAGAUUCAUAUAUACACUAUCUGCUUUCCUCCCAAAUAUGUUUUCUUUCAAGUUUCCUCAAACCGUUUGUCAUAUUUUUAGGUAUUAAAAAUAUUAACAUAUAAUUUAUAAUAGUGCGACCAACGUGGUCAUGGUAUUUGAUACACAUAAUAUAACUUGUAAGCAUACAAAAUUACACACAGAUUAGCAUAAAACAGGGGUUUUAUUUUAUUUUAAUUUUAUCAUGUUUUUGAGAAAACAUGAAAGAAAAAGACCCAAAGAUACAUAUUUAUUUUUCAUCAGUCAUAAGCACCCCCCAUACUUAGGCUGAAAGUUGAUCCAUCAGCACUUAAACGGAACCGCUGAAACCUUUAUUGUAAGCAUAUUCAAUAAGGGAAUCCAACUCAUCAUUGGUGCAGUCGAUCAAAUUGUCCUUAUUUUUAUCAGCAACGUCCAUGGCCUCUUCAACUUGCUUGUUUGGCGUGACUGCACCUAGAUGUUCAAAAGCAUCCUUGAGCUGGUCCUUGGUGAGGCUGCCCUGCUUAGAGUAAGAUCGAAACACUUGUUCCAAUUUGUUUUUCUGAUCCUUGUUAUCCUUUGUAGCUUGCAUUGUGGAUUUUGAGGUUUGUGACCGGGUGAUAUUAGAGAGAAGGCUUGCCUAGCUUGGUUUGGUUUUCUUUUCCAAUGCUACUUGUUUAUAUAGACCCAAAACUCUGAAUACGAUUCUGUUUAAGUGUUGGGGAAUAAAACAUUUUUUGGUGGUGGGUUUAAAAAAUUGAUUUCCAUCUUUUUUAUCAAUAAAAUUAAUAAAUCAAUCAAUAAAUUUUAUAAUGAAUACUUAAAAAAAAAAUUCCAAGAGGAUUGGUACGAAUAAAAAUAUUAAUGUUAAUUUCUUCUUUUCUUCUGGCUUCAAAUUAACCACAGAUUGGAAAAAGCUAAACGGCAGCCUCCACUAUCUUGUGUCCAUUUUCUAUUGUUUCAUUUGUUUUAGCCCUCAAUUUGCAGUUUUUAGGUUUUUCUUUUUUGGUUCCCUGAUUAAAUGAUGCAUUUUGGUCCAUUUGGUUUUAAUGAAUUUCAGAAUUUGGUAGAUCUCGUGAAAGGAGUUCUAGGAAGUACUUUGAUGAGCAUGCUUGUAAAUUGUGAUAAUUAUUGUGUAUGAAUGUUAAGUUAUCCAAAAAUAAAUAAGUUUAGCAUUACGACUGUCUUUCUUUUUUUGUUUGCCAUAAAUGAUUCUGGAGCAAAGCAAACUACUGUUAAACUAAUUAUUUGCAUUGUACCACUUCCAGGAAUCAUGGCCUUAGUGGGUUAAAACUGUAUACAUGUUUCUCUCUCAUAUGUUCUUAAUCUGGGUAGGAUAGAAUGAAGUUUGGGCCAUUUCAAUUCCUUUGCACCUUUUUUCCCUUGUACUGUAAUAUUUUCUCAACCACCCUUUUGCAAGGGGAAAGCUGUAAUAUAUUAUAUAUAUAUAUAUAUUUUUUAAAUUAGAUAAUUUUGUAAAAAAAUUAUAUUGAUGGAAGUGUGUACAUGGUAGUCAGAUUUUAUUUUUUCAUUUCUUCAUUUUUUAUAAAGCUUUAUUUUUAAAAAGUUCCUAAUAAAAAUUUUUACAAGAAUAAAUCAUCAUUAUUAACAUUGCAUGACAAUUCAAUUUUUUUUCCUUUUUAUUUGUUUUGAUUUUCAUUUUCAUUUUUUCAUUUUUAGUUUUUUUUCUCCCUUUAUUUUUUACUAGAUCAAUUGUUUCAGUGAAAAAACUCAUCGGAUGUGCCCACAUGACAUCCUAUUUUAUUUUUUGACUUUCAUCUUUUUUUUUAAUUAGAUAAAUAAUACAGUAAAAAAAUCAGUAUAUAAAUUUUAUAAGAUAAAAAUCAAUUGAAGUAUAGACAACAAAAUAUCUUGUAUCCGAUAUGUUUUGAUUCCUAUGGAUCAAUCGGUGUGCUUUUUCUUUUUUUUUAAUUUAGGAUUGGAAACCUUAAAAAAUAUGAAUUAUUACCAAAUUACAAUAGUAUCAUCUACAAAAAUAAUUUUGUAAGAAACCUUAUGAAGUAAGAAACGGAAAACUUAUAAUUGAAAAAUGAAUUAAUUAAUAGUAGGAUAGAAAAAUAAUUUAAAAGAUUACAAUUAGUAAUUUCAUAAUCAAAUAAAUGAAUUUUUUUUAAAUUAAUGUAAAGCUAUGUUUUCUAAACCAAAGAAAUGCACAAAUGACACUACAAAUUGAUAAUUCAUAUAUGCCUCACAAACAUUUUAAUAAAAUUACAAAAAAAAAUUUAACUAUUUCCAAAAAUAAAAUCUUGAUAUAUAUAAUUUUGCUAAAUAAGGUAUUUAAACUUUUGAUAAAUGAAGUUACCUUCAUAAAUGAAAUCUUACUUGAAAUCCUGCAAUUAAUUAACUAAUUUUGAUAGUUUAGUUUUCAUUAAAGUGUAAUUUUCUUUUGCUUGCUAAGACCAACAUCUGUAUGUACUUUAAUUUUUUUGUCAAAUAGCUAUAGUUUUAUCAAAAUCAUUUUCGUCUAUACUUACAUAUAAGCACGUGCAAAAACAAAUGCAUAAAUGUGUGUAAAAUUAAAAAGAAUUAAGCAUUUAAUUAGAUUCAUAUAUAUAGAUAUAUAUAUAUAUAUAUAUACAUACACAUACACACACUAUCUGUAUUCCUCAUAAAUAGGUUAAUUUUCAAAUUUUCUCGAAACCUUUUAUCAUGUUUUUAAGUAAUAAAAAUAUUAGUGUAUGGUUCAUAAUAGUAUGAUAACAUGUUCAUGGUAUUUGAUACACACAAUAUAACUUGCAAGCAUGUAAAAUUACACAGAUUUGAAUAAAAACAGGGGAUUUUAUUUUAUUUUAAUUUUAUCAUGUUUUUGAGAUAACAUGAAGGAAAAAGACCCAAAGCUAUAUAUUUAUUUUUCAUCAGUCAUAAGCAUCCCCCAUACUUAGGCUGAAAGUUGAUCCAUCAGCACUCAAACGGAACUGCUGAAGCCUUUAUUGUAAGCAUAUUCAAUAAGGGAAUCCAACUCAUCAUUGGUGCAGUCGAUCAAACUGUCCUUAUUUUUAUCAGCAACGUCCAUGGCCUCUUCAACUUGCUUGUUUGGCGUGAGUGCACCUAGAUGUUCAAAAGCAUCCUUGAGCUGGUCCCUGGUGAGGCUGCCCUGCUUGGAGUGAGAUCGAAACACUUGUUCCAAUUUGUUUUUCUGAUCCUUGUUAUCCGUUGUGGCUUGCAUUGUGGAUUUUGAGGUUUAUGACAGGGUGAUAUAAGAGAAAGGGCUUGCCUAGCUUGGUUU